Molecule: ribosomal RNA, 544 nt
Filed under: Sporosarcina pasteurii
Lineage: Bacteria; Bacillati; Bacillota; Bacilli; Caryophanales; Caryophanaceae
Description: bacterial SSU rRNA
Rfam family: Bacterial small subunit ribosomal RNA
Source: RNAcentral
ACCAUCCAUUGAGUUUGGGCCUUACCCCGGGAAACCGGGGCAAAUACCCAAUAAUCCGUUCCUUCACAUGGAGGAACUCUGGAAGACGGCUUCGGCUGUCUCUGCUGGAAGGGCCCACGGCGCAGUAGCUAGGUGGUGAGGUAACGGCUUACCAAGGGGACCAUGCGUGACCCACCUGAAAGGGUGAUCGGCCACACUGGGACUGACACUCGGCCCAGACUCCUACGGGAAGCACCAAUAGGGAAUCUUCCACAAUGGACGGAAGUCUGAUGGAACAACGCCGCGUGAACGAAGAAGGUUUUCGGAUCGUAAAGCUCUGUUGUUAAGGAAGAACAAGUAUUAGAAUAACUGCCUGUUCCUUGACGGGACCCCAUUAAAAAACCACGGCUAACUGCGUGCCCACAACCGCGGUAAUACCUAAGUGGAAAGCCUUGUCCGAAAUUAUUGGCCGUAAAGCGCGCGCGGGCGGCCUUUUAAGUUUGAUUUUAAAGCCCACGGCUUAACCCUCCAAGGUCAUUGGAAACUGGGAGGCUUGACUACAAAA